This 450-nucleotide ribosomal RNA is filed under the name uncultured bacterium. Its description in RNAcentral is "partial 16S ribosomal RNA". It matches the Rfam family "Bacterial small subunit ribosomal RNA", at positions 354 to 796 of the family's 1533-position model. The record is from RNAcentral.
GUGGGGAAUCAUCCGCAAUGGGCGAAAGCCUGACGGAGCAACGCCGCGUGAGUGAUGACGGCCUUCGGGUUGUAAAGCUCUGUUAUAUGGGACGAACGGGCAUGGGGCCAAUACCCUCAUGCAGUGACGGUACCGUAAGAGAAAGCCACGGCUAACUACGUGCCAGCAGCCGCGGUAAUACGUAGGUGGCAAGCGUUGUCCGGAAUUAUUGGGCGUAAAGGGCGUGUAGGCGGCCAGACAAGUCUGUCUUAAAAGUGCGGGGCUCAACCCCGUGAUGGGAUGGAAACUGUCAGGCUAGAGUGUCGGAGAGGAAAGCGGAAUUCCUAGUGUAGCGGUGAAAUGCGUAGAUAUUAGGAGGAACACCAGUGGCGAAAGCGGCUUUCUGGACGACAACUGACGCUGAGGCGCGAAAGCCAGGGGAGCAAACGGGAUUAGAAACCCCGGUAGUCC